This 261-nucleotide ribosomal RNA is filed under the name uncultured bacterium. RNAcentral's name for it is "partial 16S ribosomal RNA". It matches the Rfam family "Bacterial small subunit ribosomal RNA", at positions 793 to 1055 of the family's 1533-position model. The record is from RNAcentral.
GUCCACGCCGUAAACGGUGGGUACUAGUUGUGGGUCCCUUCCACGGGAUCCGUGACGCAGCUAACGCAUUAAGUACCCCGCCUGGGGAGUACGGCCGCAAGGCUAAAACUCAAAGGAAUUGACGGGGCCCGCACAAGCGGCGGAGCAUGUGGAUUAAUUCGAUGCAACGCGAAGAACCUUACCUGGGUUUGACAUAUACAGGAUCGCCGCAGAGAUGCGGUUUCCCUUGUGGUCGGUAUACAGGUGGUGCAUGGCUGUCGU